Long non-coding RNA from Salvia miltiorrhiza (redroot sage), 468 nucleotides. RefSeq lists it as uncharacterized. The transcript is spliced from 3 exons. The record is from RefSeq and is a predicted model, not a curated record. Lineage: Eukaryota; Viridiplantae; Streptophyta; Magnoliopsida; Lamiales; Lamiaceae.
GAUAUCAGCCACAACACACACACUAACACCUAAAACACACACACACUUCACGCAUAACACCAUUUUCUUUGGUGUUGGAGCUUUUGACCUCCGAUUUGAGCACCGAGACGAGCGUCGAUCAUCUUUUCGAUCACGUAUCUAAGUAGGUCCUUUUGGGAAGUAACGACUUGAGGGAGAGAGUGACGUUACUCAUUGAUACAGAGACACAACGAGGUUGAGCUGAUGUGAUGAUGGUGCUGCAAUGAGCGGAGUCUCCAGGGUUGUUAAUAAAUAGCUAACCUGUCUAGAAUAUGUCUUCAUACAUAUGUCUAGCUACUUUCCGCUGCAAGAUGUUGUUGAUGUUAUAGUAUGUUAUGUCAUACUUUGAGUCUUAAGAGAAUGGUUUCAUACGAUGUAUAACUUGAUUAAUGAUAUUAAUUAAGUUUUAUGCUGUCUUUCAUAGACUGUUUUCAAUUGAGUAUUAAUGAA